AGAGUUUGAUCCUGGCUCAGGAUGAACGCUGGCGGCGUGCUUAACACAUGCAAGUCGAACGAACCUUCGGGUUAGUGGCGGACGGGUGAGUAACGCGUGAGAAUCUGCCCUCAGGAGGGGGAUAACGGUUGGAAACGACCGCUAAUACCCCAUAUGCCGCGAGGUGAAAUGAAUUUCGCCUGAGGAUGAGCUCGCGUCUGAUUAGUUAGUUGGUGGGGUAAAGGCCUACCAAGACAUCGAUCAGUAGCUGGUCUGAGAGGAUGAUCAGCCACACUGGGACUGAGACACGGCCCAGACUCCUACGGGAGGCAGCAGUGGGGAAUUUUCCGCAGUGGGCGAAAGCUUGACGGAGCAACGCCGCGUGAGGGAUGAAGGCCUCUGGGCUGUAAACCUCUUUUAUCAAGGAAGAAGAUCUGACAGUACUUGAUGAAUAAGCCACGGCUAAUUCCGUGCCAGCAGCCGCGGUAAUACGGGAGUGGCAAGCGUUAUCCGGAAUUAUUGGGCGUAAAGCGUCCGCAGGCGGUCUGUCAAGUCUGCUGUUAAAGCGUGGAGCUUAACUCCAUUUCGGCAGUGGAAACUGACAGACUAGAGUGUGGUAGGGGCAGAGGGAAUUCCCGGUGUAGCGGUGAAAUGCGUAGAUAUCGGGAAGAACACCAGUGGCGAAGGCGCUCUGCUGGGCCAUAACUGACGCUCAUGGACGAAAGCCAGGGGAGCGAAAGGGAUUAGAUACCCCUGUAGUCCUGGCCGUAAACGAUGAACACUAGGUGUCGGGGGAAUCGACCCCCUCGGUGUCGUAGCCAACGCGUUAAGUGUUCCGCCUGGGGAGUACGCACGCAAGUGUGAAACUCAAAGGAAUUGACGGGGGCCCGCACAAGCGGUGGAGUAUGUGGUUUAAUUCGAUGCAACGCGAAGAACCUUACCAGGGUUUGACAUCCUGCGAAUCUCUUGGAAACGAGAGAGUGCCUUCGGGAACGCAGUGACAGGUGGUGCAUGGCUGUCGUCAGCUCGUGUCGUGAGAUGUUGGGUUAAGUCCCGCAACGAGCGCAACCCACGUCGUUAGUUGCCAGCAUUUAGUUGGGCACUCUAGCGAGACCGCCGGUGAUAAACCGGAGGAAGGUGUGGAUGACGUCAAGUCAUCAUGCCCCUUACAUCCUGGGCUACACACGUACUACAAUGCUACGGACAAAGGGCAGCAAACUCGCGAGAGCUAGCAAAUCCCAUAAACCGUGGCUCAGUUCAGAUCGUAGGCUGCAACUCGCCUACGUGAAGGAGGAAUCGCUAGUAAUCGCAGGUCAGCAUACUGCGGUGAAUACGUUCCCGGGCCUUGUACACACCGCCCGUCACACCAUGGAAGUUGGCCACGCCCGAAGCCGUUACUCCAACCCUUGUGGAGGAGGACGUCGAAGGUGGGGCUGAUGACUGGGGUGAAGUCGUAACAAGGUA
RNAcentral lists this ribosomal RNA (1443 nucleotides) under metagenome. RNAcentral's name for it is "bacterial SSU rRNA". It matches the Rfam family "Bacterial small subunit ribosomal RNA". The record is from RNAcentral.